GAGUGAUAUGAUGGCAUACCAUCUUUCGGGACUGACUUACAAUGUUGAUAUUUCUCGUAUUUUACUGAUCACUU
Pseudoliparis swirei is the source of this 74-nucleotide small nucleolar RNA. RefSeq annotates it as small nucleolar RNA SNORD2. The record is from RefSeq and is a predicted model, not a curated record. NCBI's taxonomy places the organism in Eukaryota, Metazoa, Chordata, Actinopteri, Perciformes, Liparidae. The transcript has a single exon.